AGCUCCAAUAGCGUAUAUUAAAGUUGUUGCAGUUAAAAGCUCGUAGUUGGAUUUCUGCGAGGGUGCCAAUGUCCGCCGACGCGCGUGCGCAGCGGCGCCCUCGCAUCCUUCUGUUACCGCCUCUCGGCAUUCGCCUUGCCGGUGGUCGGCUCAGAGAAUUUACCUUGAGAAAAUUAGAGUGUUUCAGGCAGGCUUUCGCCGGAAUACAUUAGCAUGGAAUAAUGGAAUAGGACUACGGUCUCGUUGUUGGUUUGAGGGACUGCAGUAAUGAUUAAUAGGGACAGUCGGGGGGCAUUUGUAUUCAAACGACAGAGGUGAAAUUCUUGGACCGUUUGAAGACAAACUACUGCGAAAGCAUUU
This 360-nucleotide ribosomal RNA is filed under the name uncultured eukaryote. RNAcentral describes it as "SSU rRNA". It matches the Rfam family "Eukaryotic small subunit ribosomal RNA", at positions 587 to 956 of the family's 1831-position model. The record is from RNAcentral.